RNAcentral lists this transfer RNA (56 nucleotides) under Chitinophagaceae bacterium. RNAcentral's name for it is "tRNA-Ser". It matches the Rfam family "tRNA", at positions 20 to 71 of the family's 71-position model. From Rfam's summary of the family: Transfer RNA (tRNA) molecules are approximately 80 nucleotides in length. Their secondary structure includes four short double-helical elements and three loops (D, anti-codon, and T loops). The record is from RNAcentral. Lineage: Bacteria; Pseudomonadati; Bacteroidota; Chitinophagia; Chitinophagales; Chitinophagaceae.
AGAGCAACUGCCUUCUAAGCAGUAGGUCAUUGGUUCGAAUCCAAUCCGGAUCACAA